CAGCAGCCGCGGGAAUACGUAGGUCCCGAGCGUUGUCCGGAUUUAUUGGGCGUAAAGCGAGCGCAGGCGGUUAGAUAAGUCUGAAGUUAAAGGCUGUGGCUUAACCACAGUACGCUUUGGAAACUGUUUAACUUGAGUGCAAGAGGGGAGAGUGGAAUUCCAUGUGUAGCGGUGAAAUGCGUAGAUAUAUGGAGGAACACCGGUGGCGAAAGCGGCUCUCUGGCUUGUAACUGACGCUGAGGCUCGAAAGCGUGGGGAGCAAACAGGAUUAGAUACCCCCGUAGUCCCUGUCUCUUAUACA
This 301-nucleotide ribosomal RNA is filed under the name uncultured bacterium. Its description in RNAcentral is "partial 16S ribosomal RNA". It matches the Rfam family "Bacterial small subunit ribosomal RNA", at positions 509 to 808 of the family's 1533-position model. The record is from RNAcentral.